Molecule: long non-coding RNA, 371 nt
Organism: Phyllostomus discolor (pale spear-nosed bat)
Lineage: Eukaryota; Metazoa; Chordata; Mammalia; Chiroptera; Phyllostomidae
Exons: 3
Source: RefSeq, a predicted model, not a curated record
GCACUUACUUGUGGAAAGAAACUGGCUUAUCCUUAUCAUAUCGGUUUUUGCAGCCGUAGGCGGAACAGGACUGCACCAUCCUUCCGGUUCUCAGUCGUUUCACUUCUUUCGCCCCAGCAGGCAGCAGAACGACCACAACCAUCCCCUGACUCCCAUCUCCAAGAUGGCGGAGGGAGCUUCAAUCUCACCUCUCGCGAGGAGUUCGUCCCUGCUGUCUCAGAUUAGCCUUGAGGUCAGAGAUAGAAACACUGCAGUCCUUGGGAAAGCUGUAACUCAGUGAAUGACAACGAUGAUGGAAGGAAGGACUUCACCCAACACACAUGGACAGUGAGGUUUCUCACAGUUGAAGAAUAUUUGUUGGUAAAUCUCAC